AGUGGCCGAACACUCUAAGGGGGAGGGAGGAAAAUUCCUUUUUCGAAAACUUGUCCUUUCGCGCUAGAUUAUCGUACCUCGGAGUAUGUAUUACUUCGGGUAACCUUAGUGAGUAUUGAUAGCUUAGUUUCCGAUAGAUUUUGAUAGAAUUCUGUGGUUUUACUUUAAAGGUUCAUGUGAAGAGUUUCACGAGGAGCAAGGCUUUGCUUGUGAAGAGGAGUUAGAAGAUCACCCUGGAGAAUCUGCAGGUACUGGAGGUAGAGAUGUUGCUCAUGAGGAGUAGCUUCGAAGAGUCUUAGUUUAUGAUAUUAUUAUUCUCAUAAUAAAAUAAAGUGUCUUGCUCUGUAAUGUAACAAUGGGUAGAUAUUUUACGUUACUUUUGCUUUUCUGUUGAGAGGAUUUUAUAACCUCUACUUAUGGAAGUUGUUGAAUAAUUUUCUAAAUUAUGGCGAUGUUGUAUUGUUGAUGGCCGAAGUGCUUAUGGAAUUCUUUUCGUAGUAUGAUGGAUUUUAUUGGAAUAACAUGGAAGAUAAACCUAUUUAAAUAGGAGAUUAUAUGCA
This is a long non-coding RNA of Lotus japonicus, 560 nucleotides long. RefSeq lists it as uncharacterized. The record is from RefSeq and is a predicted model, not a curated record. The transcript has 2 exons. Lineage: Eukaryota; Viridiplantae; Streptophyta; Magnoliopsida; Fabales; Fabaceae.